GAGAACUUAGUUAAACUAUAACAUUAUCUUGUCAAGAUAGAAUCAUGGGUUAAAACCCCAUACUUCUCU
RNAcentral lists this transfer RNA (69 nucleotides) under Anomaloglossus stepheni (Stephen's rocket frog). RNAcentral's name for it is "tRNA-Asp". It matches the Rfam family "tRNA". From Rfam's summary of the family: Transfer RNA (tRNA) molecules are approximately 80 nucleotides in length. Their secondary structure includes four short double-helical elements and three loops (D, anti-codon, and T loops). Further hydrogen bonds mediate the characteristic L-shaped molecular structure. tRNAs have two regions of fundamental functional importance: the anti-codon, which is responsible for specific mRNA codon recognition, and the 3' end, to which the tRNAs corresponding amino acid is attached (by aminoacyl-tRNA synthetases). tRNAs cope with the degeneracy of the genetic code in two manners: having more than one tRNA (with a specific anti-codon) for a particular amino acid; and 'wobble' base-pairing, i.e. permitting non-standard base-pairing at the 3rd anti-codon position. Lineage: Eukaryota; Metazoa; Chordata; Amphibia; Anura; Aromobatidae. The record is from RNAcentral.